RNAcentral lists this transfer RNA (69 nucleotides) under Nanorana pleskei (Tibetan frog). RNAcentral describes it as "tRNA-Gly". It matches the Rfam family "tRNA". From Rfam's summary of the family: Transfer RNA (tRNA) molecules are approximately 80 nucleotides in length. Their secondary structure includes four short double-helical elements and three loops (D, anti-codon, and T loops). The record is from RNAcentral. Lineage: Eukaryota; Metazoa; Chordata; Amphibia; Anura; Dicroglossidae.
ACUUUCUUAGUACAAACAGUACAAAUGACUUCCAAUCAUUUAAUCUUGGUUUAAAUCCGAGAGAAAGUA